CGGGGCGUAGCUCAGUUGGCUAGAGCGCCUGGUUUGGGACCAGGAGGUCGCAGGUUCAAGCCCUGUCACCCCGACCA
This 77-nucleotide transfer RNA is filed under the name Patescibacteria group bacterium. RNAcentral describes it as "tRNA-Pro". It matches the Rfam family "tRNA". From Rfam's summary of the family: Transfer RNA (tRNA) molecules are approximately 80 nucleotides in length. Their secondary structure includes four short double-helical elements and three loops (D, anti-codon, and T loops). The record is from RNAcentral.